RNAcentral lists this ribosomal RNA (789 nucleotides) under uncultured bacterium. RNAcentral's name for it is "bacterial SSU rRNA". It matches the Rfam family "Bacterial small subunit ribosomal RNA", at positions 8 to 796 of the family's 1533-position model. The record is from RNAcentral.
AGAGUUUGAUCAUGGCUCAGAUUGAACGCUGGCGGCAUGCCUUACACAUGCAAGUCGAACGGCAGCGCGGGGCAACCUGGCGGCGAGUGGCGAACGGGUGAGUAAUAUAUCGGAACGUGCCCUGAAGUGGGGGAUAACGCAGCGAAAGUUGCGCUAAUACCGCAUACGAUCUAAGGAUGAAAGCAGGGGACCGCAAGGCCUUGUGCUCCUGGAGCGGCCGAUAUCUGAUUAGCUAGUUGGUGGGGUAAAGGCCUACCAAGGCAUCGAUCAGUAGCUGGUCUGAGAGGACGACCAGCCACACUGGAACUGAGACACGGUCCAGACUCCUACGGGAGGCAGCAGUGGGGAAUUUUGGACAAUGGGCGAAAGCCUGAUCCAGCAAUGCCGCGUGAGUGAAGAAGGCCUUCGGGUUGUAAAGCUCUUUUGUCAGGGAAGAAACGGUGUGGGCUAAUAUCCCGCACUAAUGACGGUACCUGAAGAAUAAGCACCGGCUAACUACGUGCCAGCAGCCGCGGUAAUACGUAGGGUGCAAGCGUUAAUCGGAAUUACUGGGCGUAAAGCGUGCGCAGGCGGUUUUGUAAGUUUGUCGUGAAAGCCCCGGGCUCAACCUGGGAAUUGCGAUGAAGACUGCAAGGCUUGAAUCUGGCAGAGGGGGGUAGAAUUCCACGUAGCAGUGAAAUGCGUAGAGAUGUGGAGGAACACCGAUGGCGAAGGCAGCCCCCUGGGUCAAGAUUGACGCUCAUGCACGAAAGCGUGGGGAGCAAACAGGAUUAGAUACCCUAGUAGUCC